This is a long non-coding RNA of Macaca fascicularis (crab-eating macaque), 2927 nucleotides long. The record is from Ensembl. NCBI's taxonomy places the organism in Eukaryota, Metazoa, Chordata, Mammalia, Primates, Cercopithecidae.
UUUUUUUUUUUGCAACAUACAAAAUAAGUUAAAUGAUUCAGAAGGUUUUGAGCCAUGAAGUUCCCGAAUAACUGUGUUCUGGCUGUUCACGAGCAUGACAUGCAAGCUGCUGGUCUAUGACCAGAACUCAAUAAAUACAGAUCAAAUAAAACCGCAAAACACUUAAAUUAGAUUUCUUUAGAAACUGAUGAAAGUCAAGAAAAUAUAUACUUAGAAUUAACAGUUCCAUUCUUAACUUACAUCAUCCAGUGGCAAAAAGCACAAGGCAAGUAUUCAGUCCUUAGCAAACUUUCUAGCUUGUACCGGUUUGGACAAAAAAGGAAAAAAAAUUCCUUUAAAAAUGUUUUUUCUCAUUCAAAAUAUCCAAGAAAUUUAAUAAAUUUCUACUCAUCUAUUGUUAUGCCCUCUCAUAUAACUUAUGUAUAGGAUAGUAAUAUUUUAGUUAUUAAAAUAAAAAUAACAUCUUCAUUAACUGAAACGAUUACAAUGUGCCAGAAUUGGGUUUAAUGAAUUUUCCAAAGUGGUAUAAAUAUGAAAUGAAAAAAAAAAUUGUGCUCAGGUGUCCAAAAGGAGGAAAAAAAGUCCACAAAUGGGAUCCUAUUCUAAUUGACUUCCAGGAGGGUUUGCAUGAAUGAAUACAAAAAGUGGUGAGUGUAUAAUCUAAAGUGGUUAUAUACUAAGUUCAUUAAAUUUUGGCUUAUGACCUCCUUGCUUACUUGGGAAUUACUCUGUUCAACAUAUUACAGUUACUUAGCAAUUCUUGGCACUCAAAAGAUGUUAAAAGAUAAUUUAAGUUGGAGCAAAAUAUUUUGAAAACAAAUUAAGUGAACACAUAGCAACUCAAUUUAAAUACAUUGAUAGCAAAAGGCUUUGACCUUAAGGAUUGGCAUAAAAACGACACAAAAAAAUCAGUUAACUUGCCACUUCCAAAGUAGGUUUACAGGUACAUACUUUGGGAAAGGUAGAUAAAAUAGGAAUGGAUUUUAAUCUAAGAAGAUUCAAUAAUGCAUCAUAUUAAGCAGAAGAGGGCUAGGUAGAUUACAGCAGAUAUGCAGCCUUGGCAUUCUCUGCUUCUUGGAGAACGAGUAGGAUAUUUUGAGAAUGUCAAACAUCAGGAGAAACUGUUGCCUAGAUUUUCUGUAAUUAAAUGAUAUUUGUAAUUAUAUCUGUUGCAAUGCAGCCAUCUUAUUUCUUUCAAUAGUUAAUGAUGGAUUCAUUUUUAUUUCUUCUGAUACUUAUCUGAAGUGUGUGCGUGCGCACACACAAACAAAUACACAUGUACCAUUUAACUCUAGGUCUCUGAAUAGUUGUUCUAUAGCUGUGAGGCAUCACCUUGAAUAAUGGACCUGUUCCACUGUGUUAGUGAAGAGCGGAGUUCCUAGCUUUUUCUGAAUAUUGAACUUGUAGAUUCAUUAGGUUCUUUACAGUUGUGUGGUAGAACUAGCGAAUGGUUAACAUCUCUUAUGCCCACAAACAAGCUAAAAAGGCAUUCCUUGUGACAAAGGACAUUCCAUCAAUCCCACUUAAAAACAGCUAACAUUUCCUCAUCAUUUUGACUAUUAAGUUAAACAAGUAAAUGUCCAUGUUUUUCUUAAUGUAUGUACUUUGCUCAAAUAUAUAUUAUGGGAUGCAUUUCAUCAACCAAAAAGUAAAAACUGGAUAUGUGUAACACCCUUUUAAAAUUAAUUUGUUUAAAAAUUUUCAAAAGCUUCAUUAGCAUUUGAAGUUUUUGGUUCUUGGGCAGGUCACUUUUAUAUAGAUUACCAGUAGACAUGAAUUUAUUCUAAAUGAAACUCUCCUUUAUCCUCUGAAUCUGUAACCUUGAACAAUUGAAAAAAGGAUGUCGAGGAAAUACAACUUGAUGUACAUUCUUGAAAAUAUCUCUGCCAUCAUUUUGCAGUAAUGUGCCAAUGAUGGAAAAUGCUUUACACUAAACACUAUUUUAUCAGCACUGAUGUACAAAACCAAAAUGUUUUCAGUCUGAGUCAUUUUCACAUAUAUUUCAGUUCAAAGUUUCUGCUUUGUGAAAAGCUGACUAGUUUUCAGACCUUUACAGAAAUUGCAAACUAAAUAUACUGAAUAUUAAUCUACAUCUCCCUUUAAUACAUUUGCUACAGUCUAGAGUUUGGGAGUCCAGCUUGUAUUUCAAAAAGGGGGGAUUAAAUUAUUAAAGGGCUCUACUAUGUAGCAGCUAUUGAGUCUAAAUCCAUGGUUAGUGCUCUAAAAAAGAUCCAAGACUGUCUAAACUCUAGAUCAAUUACUGCUUUCCUAUACUUUCUGCAGUUCGUAGGGACUGUAUUGUCUUUGUAUACAGAACAUUUCGUUUUCUAAAUUUUUUUUUUAACUUCUUCAGGAUACCUUCAGAGUGUACUUCAGUGAUCAUAAACUCUUUGAGGGACUGAAUUUGAACUCCAAGCAGCAGAACUGUUUUUGCACUGCUCAAAAUUUAAUAAUCAAUAAUCAAUCUGCAUAAUAAUGUUUUAUCAACUGUUUGGAUUACAUUCUUGGUAGAUGACCUAUAGUUAAUUGAUUUAAUCAAAAUAUAAGGUGAGAAGGGGUACAUUCACUAUCAAGUUGACAAACAUUUACUCAAGUUUGGUAAACAUCAGGCAGCACAAGUGGUCUCCAAACCCAUGUCAGUGGGACAUUUGCUAAAUGGAAUACUCAGCCUUUGCGAUGGUAAAAAUUACCUUAGGCUUUCUAUAGAAGAAGAGUAAAAAUAACUCCUUAUUUCACAUUAGGCAUCCUGUUAAAAUUAUCUACCCAUUUAAUACUACUUCUGAUCACUGGCUUAACUGAGGAAUAGAACUAAUAGGUGGAAGGAGGAGCUGGUGUGUCCAGAGGUAGAGACAGGGCACAUGGGAGAGUUUCCACACAAUAGUGGCUUUACCCAGUUGCAGGACUAAAAUGGUGGGGUGAGACUGGGU